CAGUGACCAACCUCAAGGUCACUGAAGGUCAGUUGAAAUUCAGUGGUCGUACAGAAGUGAUGUGUUGCUCCUCCACCUUUCGCCCCGCCGGCUCAUCUUUUUAAUGCACCUAAAUAAUGUGUAACAGGACUGCUGCUCCUGGCUAUAUACUGGAACAUUGAUCAACUCGGCAACUUUGACCAGUCUGAGGGGUGGAGACAGCCACACUAGUAAAUGGUCUGACUCAUAACAUUUGGUGUUAUAUGGAGAUACAGCAGUUGGAGACGUCGUUAGAGGUGGGCAGGGCCCACUUGUAAGCUGCUGUGUGGUGAAGUCCGUGUCGUGGGCAGCUGCUGUGUGGUGAAGUCCGUGUCGUGGGCAGCUGCAAGUCUUCAGAUGUCAUCACCUGCAGCAACACCUCAAAAGUAUCUACAAAGAUUAUUCAUGAAUUGCAGUUGAUGGAACUGGAAGAGCUGGAGGUGUUGGUGUGGUGGAUGGCAGGGGAGUGACUAGUGGGGCCACUAUUCUUGACCUCCAUGGCUAAAUGGCGCCAUUGACCUGGAGGAGGGGGGGUUAUAUCGUCAGUGG
Cherax quadricarinatus is the source of this 567-nucleotide non-coding RNA. The record is from RefSeq and is a predicted model, not a curated record. NCBI's taxonomy places the organism in Eukaryota, Metazoa, Arthropoda, Malacostraca, Decapoda, Parastacidae.